RNAcentral lists this ribosomal RNA (273 nucleotides) under uncultured bacterium. RNAcentral's name for it is "partial 16S ribosomal RNA". It matches the Rfam family "Bacterial small subunit ribosomal RNA", at positions 523 to 796 of the family's 1533-position model. The record is from RNAcentral.
AUACGUAUGUCGCAAGCGUUAUCCGGAAUUAUUGGGCGUAAAGCGAGUCUAGGCGGCUUGUUAAGUCAGAUGUGAAAAUGCGGGGCUCAACUCCGUAUUGCGUUUGAAACUGGCAGGCUAGAGUACUGGAGAGGUGGGCGGAACUACAAGUGUAGAGGUGAAAUUCAUAGAUAUUUGUAGGAAUGCCGAUAGUGAAGACAGCUCACUGGACAGAUACUGACGCUAAAGCUCGAAAGCGUGGGGAGCGAACAGGAUUAGAUACCCGAGUAGUCC